This 154-nucleotide unclassified non-coding RNA is filed under the name uncultured fungus. RNAcentral's name for it is "sequence contains ITS1". Lineage: Eukaryota; Fungi. The record is from RNAcentral.
UUAAAUUUUAUUUCGAAUCAGACACAAGCUAAACGGCAUAGAUUCGACGCCCAGAGGCGCCGAAGCACUUCUCGCUUCCACAGGUUUGAGGAUUAAGGACCCGAAAUGGAUCCAAAUCUUAUUAAUGAUCCCUCCGCAGGUUCACCUACGGAGA